AAUAAAUGAAAAAAAUAAAAAGAGAUUAAAUGUUAUAUCAUUAAAUUUAAAAGAUUUGGCGGUAUUUAAAAUUUAGAGGAAUCUGUAUGGUAAUUGAUAAUCCACGAUAAGAUAUACUUAAUAUAAAAUUUAUGUAUUGCUGUUUUUAGUAUCUAAUUAAGUUAGAUUAGAUAUAAUUUAUAAUUUAAAUUAUGUAAAGUAAUUCAAGUCAAAAUAUAGUUUUAUUAAGAUUAGUAUGGAUUACAAUUAAUUAAAUUAUUUGGAGUAAAAAAUUUAAUUUUUUUAUGAAAUUGGAUUUAAAAGUAAAUUUAAUAAAUAUAUUAAAUUGAAUAAUAAAUUAAAUAUGU
RNAcentral lists this ribosomal RNA (347 nucleotides) under Provespa barthelemyi. RNAcentral's name for it is "partial 12S ribosomal RNA". Lineage: Eukaryota; Metazoa; Arthropoda; Insecta; Hymenoptera; Vespidae. The record is from RNAcentral.